UCUUAGUAGUUCAUGUUUUGACUUUUGGCACCCCUGAGAUUCCUGCCUAGCUCCGCCACUGCUACAUACGGACAUAUGUGACAUAUUUUAGAACGUAGAUUCACUCAUUUUGCUCCGUAUGUAGCCCGUAUUGCUCAUUAAAAUUGUAUUACAAAAUUUGACUAGUAAUCAGAAAUAGAUACACAUAUUAUCAUAUCUCAACAUCCCGCAGCUCCUCGAGUGAUUUGUAAGGUCCACCGCCCCUGGCAUGGACGAGCGAGGCAAUACUUGUUGUUGAUAGAACUUGUACUAGAAAUAUUUGGGUACAUUCACAUCUCGCCGUCCCACAGCUCCUCGAGUGAUUUGUAAGGUCCGUCGGGCGACACAAAGUAGUCCCCCUGGCACGCCCUUUUCUGCGGUAUCGUGGCGAUCAUGGCCUUGUCCUCAUCGCUCAGCUCCCAAU
This 442-nucleotide long non-coding RNA is filed under the name Triticum aestivum (bread wheat). RNAcentral describes it as "long non-coding RNA (TAES_LNC023458)". The record is from RNAcentral. Lineage: Eukaryota; Viridiplantae; Streptophyta; Magnoliopsida; Poales; Poaceae.